GACGAACGCUGGCGGCGUGCUUAACACAUGCAAGUCGUACGGUAAGGCCCUUUCUGGGGUACACGAGUGGCGAACGGGUGCGUAACACGUGAGUAACCUGCCCACAACUUUGGGAUAACGCUAGGAAACUGGUUCUAAUACUGGAUAUGUGCUCCUGCUGCAUGGUGGGGGUUGGAAAGCUCCGGCGGUUGUGGAUGGACUCGCGGCCUAUCAGCUUGUUGGUGGGGUAGUGGCCUACCAACGCGGCGACGGGUAGGCGGCCUGAGGGGGUGACCGGCCAAAUUGGGAACGGGAUAAGGCCCAGACUCCUACGGGAGGGCGGAGGGGGGAAUAUUGCCCAAUGGGCGCGAGCCUGAUGCAGGAACGCCGCGGGGGGGAUGACGGGCUUCGGGUUGUAAACCGCUUUCAGCAGGGACGAAGCUGUUUGUGACGGUACCUGCAGAAGAAGCACCGGCUAACUACGUG
This 465-nucleotide ribosomal RNA is filed under the name uncultured bacterium. Its description in RNAcentral is "partial 16S ribosomal RNA". It matches the Rfam family "Bacterial small subunit ribosomal RNA", at positions 28 to 507 of the family's 1533-position model. The record is from RNAcentral.